This 253-nucleotide ribosomal RNA is filed under the name uncultured bacterium. RNAcentral describes it as "partial 16S ribosomal RNA". It matches the Rfam family "Bacterial small subunit ribosomal RNA", at positions 524 to 776 of the family's 1533-position model. The record is from RNAcentral.
UACGUAGGUGGCAAGCGUUGUCCGGAUUUACUGGGCGUAAAGAGCGCGCAGGCGGUCGAUCAAGUCGAGUGUGAAAGCCCCCGGCUCAACUGGGGAGGGUCAUUCGAUACUGAUCGACUCGAAGGCAGGAGAGGGUAGUGGAAUUCCCGGUGUAGUGGUGAAAUGCGUAGAUAUCGGGAGGAACACCAGUGGCGAAGGCGACUUCCUGGCCUGUUCUUGACGCUGAGGCGCGAAAGCUAGGGUAGCAAACGGG